Molecule: unclassified non-coding RNA, 337 nt
Filed under: soil metagenome
Description: partial contains 5.8S ribosomal RNA, internal transcribed spacer 2, and large subunit ribosomal RNA
Rfam family: 5.8S ribosomal RNA (bases 1-120)
Source: RNAcentral
GAUGAAGAACGCAGCGAAAUGCGAUAAGUAGUGUGAAUUGCAGAAUUCAGUGAAUCAUCGAAUCUUUGAACGCACAUUGCGCCCCUUGGUAUUCCAUGGGGCAUGCCUGUUCGAGCGUCAUUUGUACCUUCAAGCUCUGCUUGGUGUUGGGUGUUUGUCUCGCCUCUGCGCGUAGACUCGCCUCAAAACAAUUGGCAGCCGGCGUAUUGAUUUCGGAGCGCAGUACAUCUCGCGCUUUGCACUCAUAACGACGACGUCCAAAAGUACAUUUUUACACUCUUGACCUCGGAUCAGGUAGGGAUACCCGCUGAACUUACGCAUAUCAAUAAGCGGAGGA